Esox lucius (northern pike) is the source of this 1139-nucleotide long non-coding RNA. RefSeq lists it as uncharacterized. The transcript is spliced from 5 exons. The record is from RefSeq and is a predicted model, not a curated record. NCBI's taxonomy places the organism in Eukaryota, Metazoa, Chordata, Actinopteri, Esociformes, Esocidae.
GUCAGUAAUGUGGAAACGUCUCUCUCGCAGAUAGCCUACAUAGGACUCCAAAGCACUCAAGUCGCAUAUUCUCGCACAUCUGAAUGAACAUCAUGACCAGAAAUCGGCACAUCCACUUCCGGCGAAACAUCACUCAGCCUCCAUUAUUUUAAGCCGAUGCCUCCAAGACCUUCCACGUCUGAAUAUCGGUGACGUACACAGGAUUGUCGACUCCUGUGCAAUGGCUCCAAACUCCAAGAGGAAUAAAGGAUUCAAUUUUUUUACAUUUCAUCCUAUAUCCACAAUUAUUAGGGUGGUCCUGAAAGAUUCAAACCCUGUGGAGUUAAUACAUCAUAGAUGCUCAUGUAUUGCGGGAGCAGCACUUUGCAACUACUGUGUUGCAUUGUUGUUUCAGUCUGCACAUUGUAGUCAGCUGAAUUUGUCUGCAGUUCCCCCUGUCUUAAGCUGCACUGAGGGAGAACAACAAUGGCACAAGCCUAGAACUUUGGGUAUAAAGCCAGGCCCAGUGGACAGGAUGGUUGUACUCUCUGCUAAACCCAAGACUCAAGCAACAACAGAGGGAGUCAAGUGACCGAGGCCUACAAAGAGUUCCCCCCGGCUGAUUAACCAAUAAUCUGCAGUAUGGCCAUCAGCGGUGACGUCCUUCUCACCAACUCAAGCCUCAGGAUGGUCCAAAGUGGAAGCCCACUGUCUUAUCAGCAGCCAGCAGCAACAAGGAGAGACCACUCCUUUCAUGUUGCCCCACCAUGGCCCUCUCUACCCCUUCAGGGAUACCAUCUAGAUGCAAUUUGGGAAUACUGCCCAAUAAAACGCGUCAAUCAUUACCCCUGUGGAUUUGUAAUCCACCCUGAUGCUCCCUGGUUGUGGGCGUCUCCAGACGGACUUGUUUUUGAUCCUUCAGAGUCAGUUCAUUUUGGGCUUAUAGAAAUGAAAUGCCCCAACCUAAAAAGUUAUGUGGACUGUACCUUAAAAUUUAAUCUGGCAAUGUGGAACUAAAGAAAUCACAUGCAUAUUACUGGCAGGUACAGGGUCAGAUGCUCAUUACCGGUUUGACAUGGUGUGAUUUUGUCAUUUCGGUUGAAGAUGACCUGCUGAUUCAGCAGAUUUACAGGGACAAUGAUGUAUGCAAAGUCAUCAGA